RNAcentral lists this ribosomal RNA (588 nucleotides) under uncultured bacterium. RNAcentral describes it as "bacterial SSU rRNA". It matches the Rfam family "Bacterial small subunit ribosomal RNA", at positions 338 to 916 of the family's 1533-position model. The record is from RNAcentral.
CCUACGGGAGGCAGCAGUAGGGAAUCUUCCGCAAUGGACGAAAGUCUGACGGGGCAACGCCGCGUGAACGAUGAAGGCCUUCGGGUCGUAAAGUUCUGUUGUUAGGGAAGAACAAGUGCUAGUUAAAUAAGCUGGCACCUUGACGGUACCUAACCAGAAAGCCACGGCUAACUACGUGCCAGCAGCCGCGGUAAUACGUAGGUGGCAAGCGUUGUCCGGAAUUAUUGGGCGUAAAGCGCGCGCAGGCGGUUUCUUAAGUCUGAUGUGAAAGCCCCCGGCUCAACCGGGGAGGGUCAUUGGAAACUGGGAAACUUGAGUGCAGAAGAGGAAAGUGGAAUUCCAAGUGUAGCGGUGAAAUGCGUAGAGAUUUGGAGGAACACCAGUGGCGAAGGCGACUUUCUGGUCUGUAACUGACGCUGAGGCGCGAAAGCGUGGGGAGCAAACAGGAUUAGACACCCUGGUAAUCCACGCUGUAAACGAUGAGUGCUAAGUGUUAGAGGGUUUCCGCCCUUUAGUGCUGAAGUUAACGCGUUAAGCACUCCGCCUGGGGAGUACGGUCGCAAGACUGAAACUUAAAUGAAUUGACGG